CUACUUGAUGAAAUAUUUUUUAUGCAUUUUUCUGGCAUCUCUAAUGUCAGGUCGCCUCAGUGCGACCGAUGAUCUCACAGGACUUCUGAUC
Molecule: small nucleolar RNA, 91 nt
Filed under: Dothideomycetidae sp. 11243
Lineage: Eukaryota; Fungi; Ascomycota; Dothideomycetes
Description: fungal sp. No.11243 A. fumigatus snoRNA Afu_264
Rfam family: A. fumigatus snoRNA Afu_264
Source: Rfam by way of RNAcentral